UUUUUAAAAGUAUAUUUUUGGUGUAAUUAAUCAAAAUUGUUGAUGACAGCAUUGACAUAAAAAUAGUACCCUCUAUUUUAUCACUAAAUGUCUUGAAAUGUCUUUUCUCUACACUGUCGAUCAAGAAACGUGCUGUGUUGAUAAAUGUUAAGGUUACUUUGCACUUUUGAAAUCAAUACUGACUAAUUCUAUAUGCAUAGGGAGAACAAUUUAACGACUGAUUUAAGUAGCGGUUACAGGAUGGGCAUGAACUUCAUGUACGCUAAUAGAAAUUAGUUUGUAGGUAAAAUGUUACAUAAUUAUAAUGAUAAAGAAGCUACGAUUUUUCAUUUGACAGACAAGAGAAAUUAUUAUACUACUCAAUAAGUCCCUGUUGCAGAUAUCAAAGUGAUCAGAAAAUCGAGAAAAAAAUCAUUUAAAUGUGUUUUUCUGACACUAUACGCACACAAAUUACCCCAAAAUCGGACUUAAAUACAUUUCAAUCUAAUCACAUACUAUUAGAUGUAAAUCGUGUUUAUUAUAAAUGUCCUGAAUCACAAAUUCUUCAAGCUUUCAUUUAUAAAACCUUAACAACCGAAAUUUCAAUUCGAAAUAAAAAAAAAAAAAAAAUAGCAGUGGCCGGUUGUACUGAAAAUUCGACAUUUUUUUUAAAAUGACACAUAUUAUAAAGUAAGCUACUAAGAAAUAUGAUUAGAUGUAGUACACAAUUCUAAACAUUUAAAACUUAGACAUGUAAUACUAGUGGUUAUUUUCAUGGCACGAUUUUGUCAGGGUAUUAUAAGUAGGUCAGUAAAUUCCAAUACCGACUAUAUUAACGUGUAAAACUUAGACUAGUCAACGACCUAUCAAAUGAGCAAGUCUGCAAUGCAGUUAGCUUUAACAUGAUUAAAAAAACUACUUCCUUUUGAUCCUACAAAAACAGA
RNAcentral lists this long non-coding RNA (923 nucleotides) under Mytilus galloprovincialis (Mediterranean mussel). Lineage: Eukaryota; Metazoa; Mollusca; Bivalvia; Mytilida; Mytilidae. The record is from RNAcentral.